GUAGGGAAUCUUCCACAAUGGACGAAAGUCUGAUGGAGCAACGCCGCGUGAGUGAUGAAGGUUUUCGGAUCGUAAAACUCUGUUGUAAGGGAAGAACAAGUGCGUUAGGUAAUGAACGCGCCUUGACGGUACCUUAUUAGAAAGCCACGGCUAACUACGUGCCAGCAGCCGCGGUAAUACGUAGGUGGCAAGCGUUGUCCGGAUUUAUUGGGCGUAAAGCGCGCGCAGGUGGUUUCUUAAGUCUGAUGUGAAAGCCCACGGCUCAACCGUGGAGGGUCAUUGGAAACUGGGGAACUUGAGUGCAGAAGAGGAUAGUGGAAUUCCAAGUGUAGCGGUGAAAUGCGUAGAGAUUUGGAGGAACACCAGUGGCGAAGGCGACUGUCUGGUCUGUAACUGACACUGAGGCGCGAAAGCGUGGGGAGCAAACAGGAUUAGAAACCCGAGUAGUCC
RNAcentral lists this ribosomal RNA (450 nucleotides) under uncultured bacterium. Its description in RNAcentral is "bacterial SSU rRNA". It matches the Rfam family "Bacterial small subunit ribosomal RNA", at positions 354 to 796 of the family's 1533-position model. The record is from RNAcentral.